AGCUAGCACUUACUGCGUUUUUUUCCUUGGUAACGAAGUUUUGCGUUCAUUCGUAGGUGGCUUUCCGCUUCCAGUUUUAUUUCAAACCCGAUUCUCAGGACUUCAGGUUUUCUGGAGUUCACUGAAAGCACUGGCUGCUCGGACAGUGAGCUCGGUGGAGGCCGCCUGGCCCCUCGCGUAGUUGGCCGCCUCAGUUCUGCAAGGGUUCCGGCCGUGCCGAGGGCGGCCCUGCCUGCUACCGGGCUCAAGAUGGCGGGGCCGGGGACAAAGCCCGGGCCCGGGGAGGGAGCGAUGGGCGGGAUUAGGCUUUCUGCUCUUUGUGCAAGUAGAAGCGCGAGGGAGAACUAAAGGCUCGUGUGAGGAAAGUUCCAGGAAGUUCUCAGGCCCCCUGAAAACUGUUGUGGAGCUCAGCGGAAGAACCUUCUGUCUGCUGUUGCCUUUUUCCAUCCCUUCGUUCAGCUGCUCCUGAUUAGAGAAAGUGGACCUUGAGGAAGAAAAUCUGAUUCUGCCGAACUGACGGUUUUUUUUAGCUGUGGUGAUGCUAUGUGGAUGAAAAAAAAAAAAAUAAACCAGCAGCCCACUUGCUUUCCUUGAA
Oryctolagus cuniculus (rabbit) is the source of this 595-nucleotide non-coding RNA. The record is from RefSeq and is a predicted model, not a curated record. NCBI's taxonomy places the organism in Eukaryota, Metazoa, Chordata, Mammalia, Lagomorpha, Leporidae.